GCGACCCCAGGAUGGGCGAGGCCACCCGCCGAGUUUAAGCAUAUCAA
Molecule: ribosomal RNA, 47 nt
Filed under: Grobya galeata
Lineage: Eukaryota; Viridiplantae; Streptophyta; Magnoliopsida; Asparagales; Orchidaceae
Also listed under: 4 other names
Description: partial 26S ribosomal RNA
Source: RNAcentral